UUUAUUGAAGAUUUUUGUAGCAAUUUGCAGACUUUUAUAUUUUUACUGCAGGCUAUUGUUUAAAUAGACCUGGCAUCACUGAUGCUGAAAUGAUUCAUUCAUAUACCUGUCAAAAAUAUAGAGCAUUGUGUGAAAAUGUAUAACCUCACUUUUCUGACAGUUCGGUGUGCUUGUUUACCUAAGAUUUGUUUACACGGAAUUUUAAAAUUUACAUUACUUGAAUACUUUCGAUGCUCUUUGAAAGAAUAUCAACUCAAGAGGGAUGAGGAUUGGAACAAUGGUAACCUGGUUCAUACAUUGACCAAUCGGCGCUGGAUGUAAAACCCGGUGGCAUAUGCUGAAUCGAAAGAUCAAGCAUUGGGCUAUAAAACGAUUGCUUUCUGGAUGAUGGAUAAGGAUUUGUACACAUUUGUGGUGAAGUUUACCUGAGCUUUGUAGGUAACGAAUUCGGUCGAUGAUAAGUUGUUGAAAUGAUUUUGAUCGUUCAAUGCCCAUAUCGAAGAACGUUUCCAUUGGUCAGAAUGCCUACCAGCGUAUGAUAGCUGCAAACAUGAGGACAACAAGGUUAUCGCUUUCGAAUGGAACAAUAAUUUAUUAUUCGGUUUCAAGUUCCAUUACAGUAAAAGUUUCGUCGAUUAUCGCAUUGUCGUUGAUUUAGCCGGAAAAUGCAAAAUAGCGCUCGGCACUGACGACAAGGAGUAAGAAGGAUUUGAUUGGAGUGAUAAUAAUGCAGAGCAUUAUAUAUUCUGGUAGAAUAUCAGUGAGGAGAAAUUAUAUGUAAAUUUAUAUUAUAUCCCGAGUUGCAUUAAUUUUGGCACCGCAAUAAAGCUAUCUGCAACUGCUGUCUUGUUCAAAUUGGCACGAAAUAACUAGGCAGCGAAUGAUAGAUUUCAUAGUCAAUUUAUUUACUUUUUCUGAAGGAUAAGUAAUUAGUAUGUUGUGAAUAUAUGUGUCGCCGGUGCCGUGUGUUAUGGUGGUACCGGACGGAACCGUUGGUCAGAUCUGUCUUAACGCUCUCUACUUAGCGCAGGAUACGCGAAACCGCUGCUAGCUUUCGAAAGAAAAUUCCUAGCUGCUGCUACUCUAUCAGUCUCUCUCUCUCUCUCUCUCUCUCUCUCUCUCUCUCUCUCUCUCUCUCUCUCUCUCUCUCUCGACUGAGGA
Molecule: long non-coding RNA, 1161 nt
Organism: Topomyia yanbarensis
Lineage: Eukaryota; Metazoa; Arthropoda; Insecta; Diptera; Culicidae
Exons: 2
Source: RefSeq, a predicted model, not a curated record